This 253-nucleotide ribosomal RNA is filed under the name uncultured bacterium. RNAcentral's name for it is "partial 16S ribosomal RNA". It matches the Rfam family "Bacterial small subunit ribosomal RNA", at positions 524 to 776 of the family's 1533-position model. The record is from RNAcentral.
UACGUAGGAGACGAGCGUUGUCCGGAGUUACUGGGCGUAAAGGGUGCGUAGGCGGUUUGACAAGUCUUGUGUGAAAUCUAUGGGCUCAACCCAUAGUCUGCACGGGAAACUGUCGGGCUUGAGUAUUGGAGAGGUGAGUGGAAUUUCCGGUGUAGCGGUGAAAUGCGUAGAUAUCGGAAGGAACACCUGUGGCGAAAGCGGCUCACUGGACAAUAACUGACGCUGAUGCACGAAAGCUAGGGGAGCAAACAGG